UCAAAGUCCCUCUCCAUCUGCGGGAACAGC
This 30-nucleotide small RNA is filed under the name Bombyx mori (domestic silkworm). Its description in RNAcentral is "ovarian small RNA-24461". The record is from RNAcentral. Lineage: Eukaryota; Metazoa; Arthropoda; Insecta; Lepidoptera; Bombycidae.